UGGGCGAGCAGGAGCGGGGCUGGGCGAGCGGAGCCGCCGCCUCUCGCUGCGGCACCGGCCCGGCCGGCGCAGGUGGGUGGGCAGCGCCCGCUCCCCCGCGGCUGCAGCCGUGACCCCGCGGCCCGGCUCCGUCCGGAGCGCGGCUGGGUGGCAGUGUAGAAGCCAAGAACAAAAAUUGGCAGAAAUUGUGUUCUGUGUACAAGAACAUGAAGAGUGUACUCAUGACUAAGCACAGGAACCUGGAAAACUACAGGAUUUAGUCAGGUGAUCCCUGAUGAGUAGCCAGCCCACCAAGAAGGGACUUCAGCACACAGUCUGCCCAUCCCAGCACAUCAUCAUGAUAGUUAUACUCCCAAAACUGUGAGAAUAAGGACUGGUAAGCCAAAGAAUACCACUGAACAGAGAAAAGGUCACAGGGAUUUACAUUUCUGGCCUUGUGGAUAAGGAAAGACUGAGUAUUAGGGAGAGGCACUGCUCUUAUAGGAUGUGAAAGGAAAUAAUGGGAUACACUGAGCAUGCCUACGCAUCCCUCGAAGACGUCACUCCAUCUGAGAGCCAAAAGGAGAGCAAAGAUGGUGCCAGGGCAGUUACAACCACAGCUUCUACUGGAUCAGUGCCUGACUGAGGAAAGCUGGAAUUCAGGUCUCCUGUCUCCAAGGCCUCUGACUACACUCAUUAAAACUUGGACACAGAAAUUAAGCAGUGAGAUGGAUUGGCCCUGAUCCCCUCUUCUCCUCUAACUCUGGCAGACACCAGGGAGUCUCCCAGCCCCUGGGGCUGCCAGAGGGGUGACCACCCUGCAGGAUCCCCUCCUGCAUCAACCUGGACUAUGCAGAGCCCAGACCUGGUUACCAAACCAUGACUCAAAGUUACCUGCACACAAAAUCCAGCCUCAGCCCUCCAGAUGGACUGAUCUGGGUGCUUUUUAUCACUGCUUAAUUCACAGAGGUUCUACUGAGAACCCCAAAUUGCCAAGAAAUACUGUAGGAAUAAGCAAUAGGAUCAAAAAGUUUCAACAACUUGCACUUAUGUUAAAAUAGAAGGGGCUUGUGAGUAACUUCUUUAUCUUUUAAACUUGUGCUAAUUUUCAUUGCUGUUUUUUGAAGCAAAGUAGUUGAGGUAGCUUUCAAAGUCUGACUGGAUUCCAGAAUAAAAAUGCAAUUGUUCUUUCCCUG
Long non-coding RNA from Oenanthe melanoleuca, 1175 nucleotides. RefSeq lists it as uncharacterized. The transcript has 6 exons. The record is from RefSeq and is a predicted model, not a curated record. NCBI's taxonomy places the organism in Eukaryota, Metazoa, Chordata, Aves, Passeriformes, Muscicapidae.